CUCUUUUUUAGGAUCAAGAUGACCACACUGCAGCCAAGGACAAAAGCCCCACAGGAGCUCAUUGUACUGCAGGAGAGGAGUGGACCCACGUCAGAAAUGAGGUUGUACCUUUUCCCGGCUUUUCUGUGAGCAAUGAAGCCACAUCACGAUAGAGUCUUGAAGAGGAAUCCGGGAAUGGGAGUUGGCAACAAUCCCUGUCACUGGAACG
This 208-nucleotide long non-coding RNA is filed under the name Homo sapiens (human). RNAcentral's name for it is "non-protein coding lnc-ZNF716-21:1". The record is from RNAcentral. Lineage: Eukaryota; Metazoa; Chordata; Mammalia; Primates; Hominidae.